Molecule: non-coding RNA, 69 nt
Filed under: unclassified sequences
Description: Transposase-2 RNA
Rfam family: Transposase-2 RNA
Source: Rfam by way of RNAcentral
GAAGCGUGAACCAAGCGGCGGCGAGAGUCGCGUGAGACUUGGAGCUGGCCUCGGCAACGAGGCCAUGCA